AUUGUUUUAAAUUUUUUUUAUUCUUACACGCUUCAAGUAUUUUACCACAGAUUUUGGGUGUUCUCUUGUUAUCCUAAACGACCCACCUGGCGCCAAUUUAAACUCGCUUACCAAUGAAAGGAAACUAACACUAUUUGUUCAAUAACAUUUGACAUUCGUGUGUAUCGACAAAUUAACGAGUAAAAAAUUAUUGACGGCGGACGCGACGCGUUAAUACGUGAUGUCACAUAUAGAGUAGGUAGUCGUUUUCACAUGUUGUUUUUCAGAAAUUUACCUCCUCGGUUCCCCCAGCUCCGUUUUUUAUGGUGUUUUUAUAAAAAUGUCUAUUAGACCGUUGUUGUAGGUAUUUACUAUUUAGUAAUGUUUUAAUUUCAUAAAACUGUCGGUAUUUAGGAUAUUAUAUUUUGAUGAGAAAAAAUGUCCGUAACAAUGAAAUUCUAAUUGACCUGUAUAAUAAUAAAUAUAGGUACUGCGUGUUAAUAUUCUUAGACGAUCCCUCUUCGAGGCAUUCCCACAAGCCCGCCGCGACGGUUCUAUGAUAAUAAAAGUGUCGUUAUAUACGUAUUAUUUUAACGUUAAUACUGCGAUAGGUAUGUCAUCAUUUGAACUGUAGCACACGUUCCCGGCGCACGCGUUAUACCGCGCUCGGCGGCGUUUAUAAUAUAUUUAGACCGUAAAACACAUUCGAAAUGUUCAAAUACGUCUACUUGAUCGUGUGCGUUUUAUGUCUGUUCUACGUGCUAGCCGCCGUCUACAUGCUGCUCAGCGAUUUGAUAUUGGAUCCUUUGCACGGUUAUCUGUUCGACCGAGUGGACACCGGUGCCGGCCAAACCACCAGCUAUAGCUAAGGUGCAUUGUGUAAUCCUUAGAGUAACAAUUACUCUUUGGUGUAAUCCAAUGGUGAAAUUCACUUCAAAUCAAAAAACUAUUAGUAAACCACUUCGAAACCAACAAGUUUCAAGAAAGUAAAAAUGUUCAGAAAAUGGUUUUAUAGAUUCUAAGAUUUUUACAGGACUUAAACAGGAUUUGGUAUCAUACAAACUGAAAGAAAAACAGAUGAUUAACAAAAAUGGUAGCAAACAGAUAUGAAAUUACAGAAAUCAGAAUAUAAAAUUUGUAUCGAAAUGACUGUUAUCAGCUUAUGUAUUACAUAUAUUUAUAUUUUACUGUUAUCCAAAGUUGAUAAAUUCUCAAGCUUAAACUAAACAUAAUAAUAUAACAAUCGCUUUUAGCUUUUUAUUUUUUAUACAUAUAUCAAAUGUAAAUAAUAUUUUAUUGUUAUAAAGUUAUAUAUUAAUUAUUAAUCACUUGAAAGUUGUGAAUACACUAAAAUUAAAAAUUGUAUUUGUAAUUCCCUGUAUUAUAUUGUUAUAAAUAAA
Long non-coding RNA from Metopolophium dirhodum (rose-grain aphid), 1379 nucleotides. RefSeq lists it as uncharacterized. The transcript has 3 exons. The record is from RefSeq and is a predicted model, not a curated record. NCBI's taxonomy places the organism in Eukaryota, Metazoa, Arthropoda, Insecta, Hemiptera, Aphididae.